Molecule: ribosomal RNA, 3212 nt
Filed under: Candidatus Magasanikiibacteriota bacterium
Lineage: Bacteria; Candidatus Magasanikiibacteriota
Description: 23S ribosomal RNA
Rfam family: Bacterial large subunit ribosomal RNA
Source: RNAcentral
UUGUACGCAAUAUAAGGGCGUACGGUGGAUGCCUAGACACUAAAAGUCGAUGAAGGACGUCGCAGGGUGCGAUAAGCCUCGGUUAGGUCCCAAGCAACCUUUGACCCGGGGAUUUCCGAAUGGGGGAACCCACCUCUUUGUGAGGUACCUUAUACUGAAUUCAUAGGUAUAAGGGGUCGACCUGGCGAAGUGAAACAUCUCAGUAGCCAGAGGAAAAGAAAACAAAUUAUGCUUCUUUUCUACACCUUGAAAGUUUUAGCUUUUAAGGUGUAGUAAAAAAAGCUGUGAUUCCCUUAGUAGUGGCGAGCGAACGGGGAACAGCUCAAACCUUUAUCGUGUUGUCAUAUUUUAUUGGUCUUCGGACUUUCUAGGAUAUGACUUAAAGGACAGGCCGUUGCGAUUUAGGUGUUGUAGGGUAAAAACGUCGGUAACCUGUUUAGCCGGAUAUAUUAUUUUAUAUAUAAUUGAAAAUCUCUGGAAAGGGAUACCAAAGAAGGUGAUAGUCCUGUAGAUAAAAUAUAUAUGAUAAUGUGUUGUUUUUAUUCCUGAGUAGGGCGGAGCACGUGAAAUUCCGUCUGAAUCUGCCGCGACUAUGCGGUAAAGCUAAAUACUUUUAGUGAUCGAUAGUGAACAAGUACCGUGAGGGAAAGGUGAAAAGCAGCCCGGGAGGGCGAUGAAAUAGUAUCUGAAACCGUACGCUUACAAUGAGUUGGAGCCCGCUUUUGCGGGUGACAGCGUUCCUAUUGAAGAAUGAGCCUGUGAGUGUGUAGUUGUUGCAAGCUUAAGAGCCUAUGGUUCGAAGGCGUAGGGAAACCAAGUCUUAACCGGCGAUUUAGUAAUAAUUACACGACCCGAAACCGAGUGAGCAAUCCAUGACCAGGUUGAACCCCGACGAAAGUCGGGGGGAGGACCGAACCCACGCGCCGUGCAACACGCGGGGAUGAGUUGUGGAUAGCGGAGAAAUUCCUAUCGAACUCGGUAAUAGCUGGUUCUCCUCGAAAUAGCUUUAGGGCUAGCUGUAUGUGUUCCUGCUGGUGGUAGAGCACUGGAUGAGAGCGAGGUCCCUCGGGAUACUCCUUUCAAUCAAACUCCGAAUGCCAGUAGUCAAAACAUGCAAGUCAGACUGUGGGGGCUAAGCUCCAUGGUCAAAAGGGAAACAGCCCAGAUCGUCAACUAAGGUCCCUAAAUCACCACUAAGUGUAAAAGGCGGUGAAGAUUCUUAUACAACCAGGAGGUUGGCUUAGAAGCAGCCACCCUUUAAAGAAAGCGUAACAGCUCACUGGUCAAGAGUCUUUGCGCCGAAAAUGUACCGGGGCUAAGUGGUGUACCGAAGUUACGAAUUAUUGUGUCUCACUAACGUUCGACACUGAAUUACGAAUUAAGAAUUAUUAAUUUUGAUUCAAUUUUGAAUUAUUUAAUGAUUAAACAUUAGAAAUUCAAUCAAAAUUUAAAAUUUUAAAUUCAAAAUUUGAGUGGCGAGCGAUAGCGAGACACGAUAGUGGUAGAGGAGCAUUCCUAACUGCUGUGAAGUCGGAUCCGCGAGGACCGGUGGAGCGUUGGGAAGAGAGAAUGCAGGCACAAGUAGCAAAAACGAGGGUGAGAGUCCCUCGCGCCGAAAGUCCAAGGUUUCCAGGGCAACGUGAAUCGUCCCUGGGUUAGUCGAUCCUAAGGUGAGGCCGAAAGGCGUAGCCGAUGGAAGAGCAGGUUAAUAUUCCUGCACUUGGCAUAGUUUGUUAUGAUAUGCGUAUCUCAAAGGUGUGAGCGUUGUAAGGCUACACGUUUCGCAAGAUAGAGACCAAUCCUUCGGGGGCGGUCAAUUUACACUGGAGAGGUAUCUAGAAAAGUAUUAUAACGCUAGGCUAUGUCAAACCGUACCGAUAACCGACACAGGUGGACAGGUCGAGAAGACCAAGGCGUACGAGAGAAACAUGGUUCAGGAACUCGGCAAAACAGCGGCCGUAAUUUCGAGAUAAGGCCUUCCUCCUACGCCCUUCGUUUCACUUCGGGCUUCGGAGGACAAGUCCUUCUACUUUCAAAGAAAUGUAGAAUAAAAGGGACUUGUCCUCCGUAGCUCAAGCGGAGCGCAGAGCGUAGGAGGACGCAGCUAAAGACUCCAUGCGACUGUUUACCAAAAACACAGCUCCCUGCAAAAGCGCAAGCUGAAGUAUAGGGGGCGAUGCCUGGCCAGUGUCAGAACGUUAAGGGAGCGGGUUAUUUGUCCUUGUGGCAAAGAAGCUUGCGACCGAAGCGCUGAUGAACGCCGGCGGUAACUAUAACCGUCCUAAGGUAGCGAAAUUCCUUGUCGGGUGAGUUCCGACCCGCACGAAUGGCAUAACGGUGUGGAGACUGUCUUAACCAUGUACUCGGCGAAAAUACAAGAGUCGUGAAGAUGCGACUUACCCGCAGCUAGACGAAAAGACCCCGUGAAGCUUUACUACAACUUGACAUUGGUAUAUUGUUUCACAUGUUCAGCAUAGGUGGGAGCCUUCGGGCGCCAGUGAGAUACCACCCUUGUGUUGUGAUAUACCUAAUCCAAUGCCGUGAAUCCGGCAUGGGAGACAGUGUCUGGUGGGUAGUUUAACUGGGGCGGUUGCCUCCCAAAUUGUAACGGAGGCGUUUACAAAGGUCGGCUUAGCCCGGAUGGAAAUCGGGCUGGACGUGCAAACGCAAAAGCCGGCUUUACUGCAAGGGCUACCACCCGCGCAGUCACGAAAGUGGAAGUUAGUGAUCCGACCGUACGAAAUAGGACGGCGGAAGCUCAACGGAUAAAAGUUACUCCGGGGAUAACAGGCUGAUCACGCCCAAGCGUCCACAGCGACGGCGUGGUUUGGCACCUCGAUGUCGGCUCAUCGCAUCCUGGGGCUGGAGAAGGUCCCAAGGGUUAGGCUGUUCGCCUAUUAAAGCGGUACGCGAGCUGGGUUCAGAACGUCGUGAGACAGUUCGGUCUCCUAUCUGCUGUGGGCGUUGAACGUUGAAGGAACUCAUCCCUAGUACGAGAGGACCGGGAUGGACGAACCUCUGGUGUACCAGCUGUUCUGCCAAGGGCAUUGCUGGGUAGCUAAGUUCGGUGCGGAUAAGCGCUGAAAGCAUCUAAGCGCGAAGCCGUUCCUAAGAUUAACGUUCGUUAUUAGACUCGUUCGAGACGAGGACGUUGAUAGGCGCUAGGUGAAAGGUCCGCAAGGAUUUUAGCCGAGGCGUACUAAUAUGUCGAG